AUGGCCUUGGUGCAAAAGUAUGGGAAGCCAGAUAUUUUUUUAACCAUGACUUGCAACCCUAAUUGGGAUGAAAUAAUUAGUGAGCUAGAGCCUGGACAAACCCCACAGGAUCGUCCUGAUCUUAUUGUACGAGGUAGCUGCAAGAACUAUUAUCCACGACCAUUUAAUGUGUCAACCCUUCAGGGAAAGGACUCAUAUCCCAUAUAUAGGAGGAGAGAUGAUGGACGCCGUGCAAAGGUACGUGGCCAAGAGUUAGACAAUAGGUGGGUUGUUCCAUAUAAUCCUUACCUACUAAGAAGGUAUAAUUGCCACAUCAAUGUCGAGGUUUGCUCAAGCAUAAAAGCUGUAAAGUACCUCUUUAAAUACAUAUAUAAGGGGCAUGAUCGAGCAUCUGUUUCUAUCGAUGAGGUGGAUAGUGAUAGGAACAUUGAUGAGAUAAAGCAAUACCGAGAUUCCAGGUGGGUUACUCCACCAGAAGCAUUAUGGAGGAUAUAUGGUUUUGACCUUGAUAUUUCCAUCUGUUAG
RNAcentral lists this ribosomal RNA (525 nucleotides) under Triticum aestivum (bread wheat). RNAcentral's name for it is "partial small subunit ribosomal RNA". The record is from RNAcentral. Lineage: Eukaryota; Viridiplantae; Streptophyta; Magnoliopsida; Poales; Poaceae.